AAGCAGUGAGGAGAUUUGUGCCAACUGUGAUGGAUGGGUCUAUCACCAGCGUCUGAAUCUUCGGACGAAAGGGUGGCGCAUCUGAGCUU
Gastrolobium bilobum is the source of this 89-nucleotide small nucleolar RNA. RefSeq annotates it as small nucleolar RNA snoR114. The transcript has a single exon. Lineage: Eukaryota; Viridiplantae; Streptophyta; Magnoliopsida; Fabales; Fabaceae. The record is from RefSeq and is a predicted model, not a curated record.